Molecule: non-coding RNA, 1001 nt
Organism: Chrysemys picta bellii (western painted turtle)
Lineage: Eukaryota; Metazoa; Chordata; Testudines; Emydidae
Source: RefSeq, a predicted model, not a curated record
UUCUCAGGGAGCCCCGACUCCCACACGCUGCUCCGUAGGCCCUGGGUGCACACGCCAAGCACUGCGUGUGUCGGUUCCGUUCAGCAGGCAGAGUACAGAACGCAGCGCUAGAGUCUCCAGAUGAAACUUAGGCCAAGAAGACGUACAUGCUAGGAUACCUCCACUGCUCUUUGGACAUGCAAGUGCAGCAGGAAAGGCUCCAGGGCUUACUGAAAAGGCCUGGAAAGUGGGGAUUUCCCCCUGGGUUCUGAAGAGAACAGGAGCAAACUUGAGGUCAUUCAAGGGAACUACUUCUAAUCCACAACAUAACCCCGUCCCGUUCACCCGUCCGUCCUGGCUGCUACGUACGGCAUCAGCGCCCCCGACACACUGGUCACGCCGGUGUCAAUGCAGGAGGAGGGCACCGCAUGUUAACUCCUGCCCCAGAACAAGGCAUUAUUGUAGGGUCUAAAAGACCAGUGGCUAGUGUGUUCUCUGUGUUUGUAAACACCUCCUCGGCAAGGGGUUUUAGUACAAGUCGCAAUCCUGACUCGGGAGGAGUCGGUCAGAGCCACACAGCAUUCGACCCAACUGACUGGGAUUUGAACAGCUUGAAAUGAAAGGUGUUUCCCCCCUUGGGGAACGAUAUCACACAGAGGAGGAGGAGAUAAAGACAGUUAAACAGCCAGCCAGGGAGAUGCGUGACACCAGGAAAUAGCUAAAUAAAGCACACUGUUAUUUACUCUCCGGAGGGGGAGGAGGGAAAGCCCAGCAUCUUCCUACAGGUGCCACCGCACUGUUAAUACCUAGGCAUUAACGUGACAUGGACCUCUUUACGAGGCUCUGUUUUAUAAGGCUACUGUACGCUGACUGCUAACGACACUAAAACAGCCAGCGAUUCCCAGGCCUCACAGCCAGCUGGGCUGUUGCUUUGUACCAGCAAUACUCAGUGAUUGCCCUGGAAUGUUUUACGGACAAAAAGACACCCGUGGCAUGCCACGCGCGUGAAUGCCAGGCCCAGG